Molecule: ribosomal RNA, 841 nt
Filed under: uncultured marine bacterium
Lineage: Bacteria
Description: bacterial SSU rRNA
Rfam family: Bacterial small subunit ribosomal RNA
Source: RNAcentral
GGGGAGCGGUGCUUACCUGCAGUCGAGCGAGAAAUGGCUUCGGCCAUGAGUAGAGCGACGGACGGGUGAGUAAUACAUGGAUAAUCUGCCUUUAGGACCGGGACAACCCAGGGAAACUUGGGCUAAUACCGGAUAAGACCACAGAAUCUCCGGAUUCAGCGGUAAAAGGUGGCUUCGGCUAUCACCUAUAGAUGAGUCCAUGUCCCAUCAGGUAGUUGGUGAGGUAACGGCCCACCAAGCCAAAGACGGGUAGCCGACCUUAGCGGGUGAUCGGCCACACGGGGACUGAGACACGGCCCCGACUCCUACGGGAGGCAGCAGUGGGGAAUAUUGGACAAUGGGCGCAAGCCUGAUCCAGCAAUACCGCGUGAGGGAUGAAGGCUUUCGAGUCGUAAACCUCUGUCAGUUGGAACGAUGGGUCUGUAGGUUAAUACCCUGCAGACUUGACGGUACCUUCAAAGGAAGCCCCGGCUAACUCCGUGCCAGCAGCCGCGGUAAUACGGAGGGGGCAAGCGUUGCUCGGAAUUACUGGGCGUAAAGGGUCCGCAGGUGGCUUUGUAAGUUAGAUGUGAAAUCUCAGGGCUCAACCCUGAAACUGCAUCUAAUACUGCAUAGCUUGAGUACAGGAGAGGUUGGCAGAAUUCCCGGUGUAGCGGUGAAAUGCGUAGAUAUCGGGAGGAAUACCAGUGGCGAAGGCGGCCAACUGGCCUGUUACUGACACUCAGGGACGAAAGCGUGGGUAGCGAACGGGAUUAGAUACCCCGGUAGUCCACGCCCUAAACGAUGGAUGCUAGGUGUGGGGAUGAAAAUCUCUGUGCCGUAGUUAACGCAUUAAGCAUCC